UUUAUUUUAGUAAUAAUCAUUCGUUCUACUAGGGACCUGUGCUAGCAAAAAACAUUUCAUACUCCUGAUAUACAUGUGAAAUUCAUUGAGGAGAGAGACAUUAGUCGCUAGGACGAAUAUGUUUCGUGACAAAACUAAUUGUUGAUUUUAAUAGCCUGACACUGCUGCAGCAUUCCAGAACGCAAAUGUAUUGCUUAGUUAUAACAUAGAUGUUCGCUGUUUGUCCGGAUUAUCUAGUAAAGUCUUCACAUUCAAUAGAUUUGAUUACUCAGCAUAAAACAAUAGUCACUAAUAAGUGCAUAUCCUAGAGACCAUCCAGAUAACCGUCAUUUGUUGUACAAAAGUUGUUGACAGAUUUUAAACUCCAUCACUGUUGCGCUAGGUGAUAAGACCAGUGCGAGGUUGCAUAACUGUGACUUUUUAUAUGUACAUUGCAUCGUAGACGUACUUAUUGUGUGUGUGGCUCAUACUCGUGGCAAAAACGCAUUUAUUAAAGAUGCCAUUAUUUGGAAAGAAAGAUUCCGGCAAGAAAGUACGAAAGGAUACAAAGGAAAUCGAAAAGCAACCAUGCAUCGAAGACAAGUAUGUUAUAAAAGAAUUACUCGGAACUGGGGCGUUCUCGGAAGUACGUCUUUGCGAACAUCGCGAGACGGGUCAGGCAUUUGCCGUUAAGAUUAUCGAUAAGAAAGCCUUGAAAGGCAAAGAGGAUUCUUUAGAGAACGAGAUUCGGGUACUGAAGCGAUUUAGUGCCAAAAGGCAAGAAAAUGAUCCCGAUAACACAUGGUUUACUCAUCCAAACAUAGUGCAACUAUUUGAAACGUACGAAGAUAAAUCAAAAGUCUACUUAAUUAUGGAACUGGUUACCGGCGGUGAACUUUUCGACCGCAUUGUUGAAAAAGGAUCUUAUACAGAAAAGGAUGCGUCUUAUCUAAUUCGUCAAGUACUUGAAGCUGUAGAUUAUAUGCAUGAACAAGGCGUAGUACAUAGAGAUUUGAAACCUGAAAAUCUGUUGUACUACAAUCCUGCGGAAGACAGUAAAAUAAUGAUUAGCGACUUUGGGCUUUCGAAGAUGGAAGACUCUGGCUUUAUGGCCACGGCAUGUGGUACUCCUGGAUAUGUAGCACCUGAGGUGUUAGCCCAAAAACCUUACGGCAAAGCGGUUGAUGUUUGGAGUAUAGGGGUAAUAUCGUACAUUUUACUAUGCGGAUAUCCACCAUUUUAUGACGAGAAUGAUGCCAACUUAUUUGCACAAAUUUUAAAGGGUGAAUUUGAGUUUGAUUCCCCCUAUUGGGAUGAGAUAAGUGAAUCAGCAAAAGAUUUUAUCAGGAACCUAAUGUGUGUGAAUGUAGAGAGAAGGUUUACGUGUAAACUAGCGCUCGCGCACCCAUGGAUUUCCGGGAACGCAGCUAGCAGUAAGAACAUCCACGGAACCGUUUCCGAGCAGCUUAAGAAAAAUUUUGCCAAGUCGCGUUGGAAGCAGGCCUAUCACGCAGCAACUGUUAUACGUCAAAUGCAACGAAUGGCUCUGAGUAGUAGCGGAGGUGCAUAUGGUCGCAGUUCAACUCAACUGAACGCCCCAGCAGCUGACGCAACUGCAACGCAGGACACUGCAUCUGGCAGCAAGUAAAAUAUUGGAACCGCUUCAAAUUGUUGCAACAGUUACAUCGCAGAAAUACAGCUAUAUCAUGACAUAAAGGCAGUUUUGCAAUACUAAAUGUAUCUAUCUGUUCCACGACAGGAACAGGAGUCGCAAAUUGAAGUGUAUAUAAUUCAUCCUUAAGUGAAUUUGAAACGUCAAACAUUAAACCUUCAUCACACUCCCCACUUUCGAAAUCCUUAUUGAUUAGUAGCUAUAGCAAAUGCGAUAAAAACAAAACUGUUUGUCCAUCAUUCUUUAUACUGUAGUUAGUUUUAUACUUGUUAACAAUCGGUUUUGUUAUGCUAUUUAGUUUGACAGUGGAUUGCCACUCAUUGACAAAAGAGCGAUGUACUGAGUGGUUCAGAGCCAAAAAAGGUUGAUUUCAGGCAAAAUUAAAUGUGAAACUUUCUUGAUGCCGUUGAGAGAAAACUCUUAAAGUUAGCUAAAAAGCUUCCAG
Molecule: RNA transcript, 2096 nt
Organism: Armigeres subalbatus
Lineage: Eukaryota; Metazoa; Arthropoda; Insecta; Diptera; Culicidae
Gene: CaMKI
Gene name: calcium/calmodulin-dependent protein kinase type 1
Exons: 3
Source: RefSeq, a predicted model, not a curated record